UUUAUGGCGGAUGCUCUUUCCAAUAUUCCUUUCAGAGCCGUGGAGGCCGGCCACAUCUCUCCUGUUAGCUCACACCUCAUUCCGGAGGAUAUCACUCACCUCCAAUAUGCAGAUGACACAAUUAUCCUAGUGGAACUAAACGAGCACUGCAUUGCCCAUCUCAAAUUUCUGCUCCUUUGCUUCGAAGCUCUCUCGGGUCUCAAGAUUAAUUUCUCCAAAAGUGAAGUUAUUGUCACUGGCGUGUCGGACACCGAGGCCUUGCGGGUGGCCCGCCUCCUGAACUGUUCUCGUGGUUCGUUUCCUAUUAAGUACUUGGGUCUACCGAUCUCCUCUGGUAAACUUCUUGCUAAAGAUUUUGCUCCAACAGUGGCC
RNAcentral lists this ribosomal RNA (372 nucleotides) under Triticum aestivum (bread wheat). RNAcentral describes it as "partial small subunit ribosomal RNA". The record is from RNAcentral. Lineage: Eukaryota; Viridiplantae; Streptophyta; Magnoliopsida; Poales; Poaceae.